UUGAACGCUGGCGGCAGGCCUCACACAUGCAAGUCGCGCGGAUGAAGGGAGCUUGCUCCUGGAUUCAGCGGCGGACGGGUGAGUAAUGCCUAGGAAUCUGCCUGGUAGUGGGGGAUAACGUCCGGAAACGGGCGCUAAUACCGCAUACGUCCUGAGGGAGAAAGUGGGGGAUCUUCGGACCUCACGCUAUCAGAUGAGCCUAGGUCGGAUUAGCUAGUUGGUGGGGUAAAGGCCUACCAAGGCGACGAUCCGUAACUGGUCUGAGAGGAUGAUCAGUCACACUGGAACUGAGACGCGGUCCAGACUCCUACGGGAGGCAGCAGUGGGGAAUAUUGGACAAUGGGCGAAAGCCUGAUCCAGCCAUGCCGCGUGUGUGAAGAAGGUCUUCGGAUUGUAAAGCACUUUAAGUUGGGAGGAAGGGCAGUAAGUUAAUACCUUGCUGUUUUGACGUUACCAACAGAAUAAGCACCGGCUAACUUCGUG
This 483-nucleotide ribosomal RNA is filed under the name uncultured bacterium. RNAcentral describes it as "partial 16S ribosomal RNA". It matches the Rfam family "Bacterial small subunit ribosomal RNA", at positions 30 to 507 of the family's 1533-position model. The record is from RNAcentral.